RNAcentral lists this transfer RNA (67 nucleotides) under Marmota monax (woodchuck). Its description in RNAcentral is "tRNA.Ala". It matches the Rfam family "tRNA". From Rfam's summary of the family: Transfer RNA (tRNA) molecules are approximately 80 nucleotides in length. Their secondary structure includes four short double-helical elements and three loops (D, anti-codon, and T loops). Lineage: Eukaryota; Metazoa; Chordata; Mammalia; Rodentia; Sciuridae. The record is from RNAcentral.
GGUCGUGGCUCAGUGAUAGAGCACUUGCCUGGCAUGCAUGAGGCACUGGGUUCAAUUCUCAGCACCA